RNAcentral lists this ribosomal RNA (254 nucleotides) under uncultured bacterium. RNAcentral describes it as "partial 16S ribosomal RNA". It matches the Rfam family "Bacterial small subunit ribosomal RNA", at positions 524 to 776 of the family's 1533-position model. The record is from RNAcentral.
UACGUAGGGUGCGAGCGUUGUCCGGAAUUAUUGGGCGUAAAGGGCUCGUAGGCGGUUUGUCGCGUCGGGAGUGAAAUCCACUGGCUUAACUGGUGGCUUGCUUUCGAUACGGGCAGACUGGAGGUAUGCAGGGGAGAACGGAAUUCCUGGUGUAGCGGUGAAAUGCGCAGAUAUCAGGAAGAACACCCGUGGCGAAGGCGGCUCUCUGGGACGGUACUGACGCUGAUGCGCGAAAGCCAGGGGGAGCAAACGGG